RNAcentral lists this ribosomal RNA (320 nucleotides) under uncultured eukaryote. RNAcentral describes it as "partial 18S ribosomal RNA". It matches the Rfam family "Eukaryotic small subunit ribosomal RNA", at positions 1470 to 1796 of the family's 1831-position model. The record is from RNAcentral.
CCCUUAGAUGUUCUGGGCUGCACGCGUGCUACAAUGGCGCUUGCAACAAGUCUUGCCAACCCGAUAGGGUGAGCGGAUCUUUGAAGAGGCGUCGUGAUCGGGACAGUUGAUUGCAAUUAUUCGACUCGAACGAGGAAUUCCUUGUAAUCGCGAUUCAUCAUAUCGCGCUGAAUACGUCCCUGCCCUUUGUACACACCACCCGUCGCUCCUACCGAUUGAGCGAUCCGGUGAAUGUUUUGGACUGGCGUCAGAAGCGGUUCGCUCCUGACACUACGAAAUUUUGUAAACCUUAUCGCUUAGAGGAAGGAAAAGUCGUAACA